Molecule: non-coding RNA, 65 nt
Organism: Dipodomys ordii (Ord's kangaroo rat)
Lineage: Eukaryota; Metazoa; Chordata; Mammalia; Rodentia; Heteromyidae
Source: Rfam
GGUGGCUCAGGGGUAGAGCUCUUGCCUUGCAUGCAUGAGGCCCUGGGUUCGAUUCCUCAGCACCA